AUUCCUGUUGUGUGAACAUGGCACCUUCAUAAAUUCAGAGAUGUUACUGUCGUCUUCUGAUGGAUCUCGAUAUCCAGCUAGAUGACCUUGCAUCUGUGUUGAUGAUUGUAGACAGAGAUGUGAGAGAAGACAGAAUUAGGCCUUAGCUGAGGGACUGCCUGCCAACAAGUAUUUCUUAGACACUUGUUACCGAAGAUUGUGUCAAAAGGAACAUGAGACAUAGCACCUGUCCUCGAGCAGCUUACCACCUACUUCUAACAACAGAAUGUCUACUAGAGGCUUCUUAGCCUAAGUGUAAGGGCGCUGGGUUGGGGG
Molecule: long non-coding RNA, 315 nt
Filed under: Bos taurus (domestic cattle)
Lineage: Eukaryota; Metazoa; Chordata; Mammalia; Artiodactyla; Bovidae
Description: long non-coding RNA NONBTAT009115
Source: RNAcentral